UACGUAGGGUGCGAGCGUUAAUCGGACUUACUGGGCGUAAAGCGUGCGUAGGCGGUUCGUUAAGUUCGUUGUGAAAGCCCCGGGCUCAACCUGGGAAUGGCAAUGGAAACUGGCGGGCUUGAGUGUGGCAGAGGGGGGUGGAAUUCCGCGUGUAGCAGUGAAAUGCGUAGAGAUGCGGAGGAACACCGAUGGCGAAGGCAGCCCCCUGGGCCAACACUGACGCUCAGGCACGAAAGCGUGGGGAGCAAACAGG
RNAcentral lists this ribosomal RNA (253 nucleotides) under uncultured bacterium. RNAcentral describes it as "partial 16S ribosomal RNA". It matches the Rfam family "Bacterial small subunit ribosomal RNA", at positions 524 to 776 of the family's 1533-position model. The record is from RNAcentral.